RNAcentral lists this transfer RNA (62 nucleotides) under Aegilops geniculata. RNAcentral describes it as "partial tRNA-Cys". It matches the Rfam family "tRNA", at positions 10 to 71 of the family's 71-position model. From Rfam's summary of the family: Transfer RNA (tRNA) molecules are approximately 80 nucleotides in length. Their secondary structure includes four short double-helical elements and three loops (D, anti-codon, and T loops). Further hydrogen bonds mediate the characteristic L-shaped molecular structure. tRNAs have two regions of fundamental functional importance: the anti-codon, which is responsible for specific mRNA codon recognition, and the 3' end, to which the tRNAs corresponding amino acid is attached (by aminoacyl-tRNA synthetases). tRNAs cope with the degeneracy of the genetic code in two manners: having more than one tRNA (with a specific anti-codon) for a particular amino acid; and 'wobble' base-pairing, i.e. permitting non-standard base-pairing at the 3rd anti-codon position. The record is from RNAcentral. Lineage: Eukaryota; Viridiplantae; Streptophyta; Magnoliopsida; Poales; Poaceae.
GCCAAGCGGUAAGGCAGGGGACUGCAAAUCCUUUAUCCCCAGUUCAAAUCUGGGUGCCGCCU